GACAAUCCGUGGUGUCGUCAUGCUCGAGCUCUCCUCAUGUGAAAUUUUUGUGUCAACAUCAGAUUAAUUGAAAAUAAAACAGAUCAUGGCUCAUUUUUAUUCUCAGCUAUCUGUAAUCACCACAUAGCACAAAUUAAUAUCCUAGGCACAUAGGAGAAGAGGAACACUUAUUUGAAAACACAUGUGGGAUAUGAGACGUUAUUAUAGUUGAGUCAUAAUUCCAUCAAAGAUGGCCUGACCUCAAUUUAUGCUUCCUUUAGUCCUGCACCACAAUAGUAGUGUUAUACAUGAGAUGUUUUGGUUCAGUACUCCCUCC
RNAcentral lists this long non-coding RNA (316 nucleotides) under Setaria viridis. Its description in RNAcentral is "long non-coding RNA (SVIR_LNC007210)". Lineage: Eukaryota; Viridiplantae; Streptophyta; Magnoliopsida; Poales; Poaceae. The record is from RNAcentral.